RNAcentral lists this ribosomal RNA (513 nucleotides) under uncultured bacterium. RNAcentral describes it as "partial 16S ribosomal RNA". It matches the Rfam family "Bacterial small subunit ribosomal RNA", at positions 28 to 507 of the family's 1533-position model. The record is from RNAcentral.
GACGAACGCUGGCGGCGUGCUUAACACAUGCAAGUCGAACGAAAAGAGGGAAAGAGCUUGCUCUUUCCGGAAUUGAGUGGCAAACGGGUGAGUAACACGUAAACAACCUGCCUUCAGGAUGGGGACAACAGACGGAAACGACUGCUAAUACCGAAUAAGUUCCAAGGGCCGCAUGGCCCAUGGAAGAAAAGGUGGCCUCUACCUGUAAGCUAUCGCCUGAAGAGGGGUUUGCGUCUGAUUAGCUGGUUGGAGGGGUAACGGCCCACCAAGGCGACGAUCAGUAGCCGGUCUGAGAGGAUGAACGGCCACACUGGAAUUGAGACACGGUCCAGACUCCUACGGGAGGCAGCAGUGGGGAAUCGUCCGCAAUGGGCGAAAGCCUGACGGAGCAACGCCGCGUGAGUGAUGACGGCCUUCGGGUUGUAAAACUCUGUGAUCCGGGACGAAAAGGCAGAGUGCGAAGAACAAACUGCAUUGACGGUACCGGAAAAGCAAGCCACGGCUAACUACGUG